Molecule: long non-coding RNA, 277 nt
Organism: Colias croceus (clouded yellow)
Lineage: Eukaryota; Metazoa; Arthropoda; Insecta; Lepidoptera; Pieridae
Exons: 3
Source: RefSeq, a predicted model, not a curated record
UGUGAAUGCAUGUUGCAUAUUGCACAAUAUUGCAAACAUGGCAAGAGCACCGUUGCCACCUGAUGAAGUUUAUGCAGAAGCACUCCGCUUGCAACAGGAGGAAAAUAAUUAUGCAGCACCUAAUUAUCAAGACCAUCGAAGGGUGAACCGGGAUCUUCUUGAAGGUCGGGCACUGCAGCAGGCUCUUGUUGACAGACUGUGGAGAAAUGCAUAAAUUAAAUUAGCAGAUCCACAGUAUUGCACAAAACAGAUUUAAAAUAAAUUCUCUUUUUGUAAA